CAAAUUAUGAAAUAGCGAUCACAACAUGAAAGAACAAACAAAAAUAAAUAAAUAAAUAAUUGGGAAGUCUUGAUAACGGGUUGGGGUGGUGAUUUGCCACCGACAAAGGGAUGAGGGAUUUUACAAAUUUGAGGAAGCAAGUGUGGUGAGGAGGUGUGUGUUUUUGGUGUUGUAUAUGUGUCGCAUUCAUUCUUUCAUUUUACUGAUUUGUUUUUAAUUUUUAAUUUUGUUUUAUAAUUUUGAAUUGAUAAAAGGGUGUUUUUCAAACAAAUCCACUAAAAAAAUACAGCUUAUUAGCGUCUAUCCAACAUGGCCUGAAUCUCUUGCACAAACGUGCCAUGUCACAGAUUCCGCCCGACAUGUCAUCUUAUCCGUCAAUUAGUCUGCAGAAUAUGGUUUUCUGGUAAUGGAUGGGGUUGCUGUUUCUAAAGUUCAGUGACUAACCACGACGUUUUGAAAGUUCAGUGACCUGGUGAAACUUCCGGUAAAAUUCAAUGAUGAAUGAGGUAAUUAACCCAAUAUAUUGUGACAAUGUUUAACCUUUUCACAGAAAGGUAUGAGAUGACAGAGAGGGAAAGACAAAAGGCAAACAAGAUACAACCAUCAAUGGAUAUAAUAAACAGGGAAGAUAGGCAAUCUUCUCUGCAACAUCUCUCACUUUUCACUGCCUGGAUUGGAAUUCUUAGUAAUAUAUAACAGUGUACAAAAAUUACAGAGUCAAUGCCAUAAAAGGAUAAAUCAACACAUUCCAUGUAGAAAAAUUCAUUAUCUAUUAAACACUUUGAUCAUUAAUUCCAAAAAUUGGCCGAGGUUGCAGUGAAUAAUACAGGAUCAGUUGAAAUAUAAAGAAGUUGACCAUGAUUAAUUUGGACUAUAUCACCCGGGCUAGUGCUUUGGUGGUCUUCGAGAAGAAGAUUUUAUCAAUGUUAACAUGGAAUAUGAUAAAAAUAAUUUACGCCGGGGAAUAGAAUUUUCCAGCCAUUACGAAAACAAAAUUCUGCAUAUCCUAUAAAGAUUUGGAGAAUUAUUAUGGAAGUGAUGCAGCUGGGAAUGAUUUGAUGCCUGCAUUUGAGGGCUAGUGAAUGAAUCUUCUAAGCAAAAUUUUGGAUUAACCUCAGAAGCCCUAAAUUUCUAUGUUCUCCCACAGCUUUCUUGAACCUCUUAUGUUUUUGAAAUGAAAAACAUCAGUAGAAGUUCAAGAAAGCUGUGGAAAAGCAUGGAAGGACUUGCAUCUCUCUCUCUCUCUCUCUCUCUCUCUCUCUCUCUCUCUCUCUGUACGUACAUUAUACAUACAUAUGCAGAAACCACGCGUCAUGCGUGCAUAGAUCUGAGGUUUUUUCCAAAAUCUUGAACUGAAAGAGUAUAUAUAACCAAAAAGAGAGUAAAAUUAGAAGUCGAAAUCCAGUUGAAGAAAAAAAUCUAGAGGAUGAAAGAAAAGAAAAUGAAAUCUCACAAUGUGUCCAUGUCCACACAAAUUUUUAUGGACCACUCUUAACAUACAUACUUUAUGUUUCGUAUCAAUCACCACUUUAUAGAGG
Molecule: long non-coding RNA, 1538 nt
Filed under: Olea europaea subsp. europaea
Lineage: Eukaryota; Viridiplantae; Streptophyta; Magnoliopsida; Lamiales; Oleaceae
Source: RNAcentral